AGUGAACGCUGGCGGUAGGCCUAACACAUGCAAGUCGAACGGCAGCACAGUAAGAGCUUGCUCUUACGGGUGGCGAGUGGCGGACGGGUGAGGAGUACAUCGGAAUCUACUUUUUCGUGGGGGAUAACGUAGGGAAACUUACGCUAAUACCGCAUACGACCUACGGGUGAAAGCAGGGGAUCUUCGGACCUUGCGCGAUUGAAUGAGCCGAUGUCGGAUUAGCUAGUUGGCGGGGUAAGGGCCCACCAAGGCGACGAUCCGUAGCUGGUCUGAGAGGAUGAUCAGCCACACUGGAACUGAGACACGGUCCAGACUCCUACGGGAGGCAGCAGUGGGGAAUAUUGGACAAUGGGCGCAAGCCUGAUCCAGCCAUACCGCGUGGGUGAAGAAGGCCUUCGGGUUGUAAAGCCCUUUUGUUGGGAAAGAAAAGCAGCAGGUUAAUACCCCGCUGUUCUGACGGUACCCAAAGAAUAAACACCGGCUAACUUCGU
Molecule: ribosomal RNA, 491 nt
Filed under: uncultured bacterium
Lineage: Bacteria
Description: partial 16S ribosomal RNA
Rfam family: Bacterial small subunit ribosomal RNA
Source: RNAcentral